CCUGGUCAGUACCUGCAUGGGAGACUACCUGGGAACACCAAGG
This is a ribosomal RNA of Monopterus albus (swamp eel), 43 nucleotides long. The record is from Ensembl. Lineage: Eukaryota; Metazoa; Chordata; Actinopteri; Synbranchiformes; Synbranchidae.